RNAcentral lists this ribosomal RNA (433 nucleotides) under uncultured bacterium. RNAcentral describes it as "partial 16S ribosomal RNA". It matches the Rfam family "Bacterial small subunit ribosomal RNA", at positions 29 to 507 of the family's 1533-position model. The record is from RNAcentral.
AACGAACGCUGGCGGCAUGCCUAACACAUGCAAGUCGAACGAGACCUUCGGGUCUAGUGGCGCACGGGUGCGUAACGCGUGGGAACCUGCCCUUAGGUUCGGAAUAACUCCCCGAAAGGGGUGCUAAUACCGGAUAAUGUCUUCGGACCAAAGAUUUAUCGCCUUUGGAUGGGCCCGCGUUGGAUUAGCUAGUUGGUAGGGUAAAAGCCUACCAAGGCGACGAUCCAUAGCUGGUCUGAGAGGAUGAUCAGCCACACUGGGACUGAGACACGGCCCAGACUCCUACGGGAGGAAGCAGUGGGGAAUAUUGGACAAUGGGCGAAAGCCUGAUCCAGCAAUGCGGCGUGAGUGAUGAAGGCGUUAGGGUUGUAAAGCUCGUUUACCCGGGAUGAUAAUGACAGUACCGGGAGAAUAAGCGCCGGCUAACUCCGUG